AAUGGCAGAAUAGUGCAAUGGAUUUAAACUCCAUAUAUAAAGUUUAUACUUUUUUUAGAA
RNAcentral lists this transfer RNA (60 nucleotides) under Dendroctonus micans (European spruce beetle). RNAcentral describes it as "tRNA-Leu". Lineage: Eukaryota; Metazoa; Arthropoda; Insecta; Coleoptera; Curculionidae. The record is from RNAcentral.